GACGAACGCUGGCGGCGUGCUUAACACAUGCAAGUCGAACGGAAAGGCCCUGCUUUUGUGGGGUGCUCGAGUGGCGAACGGGUGAGUAACACGUGAGUAACCUGCCCUUGACUUUGGGAUAACUUCAGGUAACUGGGGCUAAUACCGGAUAGGAGCUCCUGCUGCAUGGUGGGGGUUGGAAAGGUUGGGCGGUGGGGGAUGGACUCGCGGCUUAUAAGCUGGUUGGUGGGGUAGUGGCUUACCAAGGCUUUGACGGGUAGCCGGCCUGGGAGGGUGACCGGCCACAUUGAGACUGAGAUACGGCCCAGACUCCUCCGGGAGGCAGCGGGGGGGAAUAUUGCACAAUGGGCCGAAGCCGGAUGCAGCAACGCCGCGUGCGGGAUGCCGGCCUUCGGGUUUUAAACCGUUUUCGCAUGUGACGAAGCGUGUGUGACGGUAAUUGGUAAAGAAGCACCGGCUAACUACGUG
RNAcentral lists this ribosomal RNA (468 nucleotides) under uncultured bacterium. RNAcentral's name for it is "partial 16S ribosomal RNA". It matches the Rfam family "Bacterial small subunit ribosomal RNA", at positions 28 to 507 of the family's 1533-position model. The record is from RNAcentral.